GCUAACUCUUAAGUGAGAGGAAAAGCAAAGGUAAUAAAGAGUGCAUUAUUUGAUUUUCCAUUGCAGAAGUCAGUCUGUGCAAAAUUCUGCUUGCAAAGAGAUCAUCCUUCCUACUUAACUUGUAGGAGAUCAUUUAGAAGGUUUGCUGGACUUGGCCGCAUGGAUCCUUCAGCUCCCAAGUACUUUCAGAGCCCUGCAGCCCAGGAAUGAAUCCCACAAAAGGCCCCGCAUAGCCAAAAUAAUGUUGGAAAAGAAAACCAAAGUGGGAGGCAUCACAAUCCCGGACUUCAGCCUCUACUACAAAGCUAUAAUCAUCAAGACAGCAUGGUAGUGGCACAAAAACAGACACAUAGACCAAUGGAAUAGAAUAGAGAACCCAGAAUUGGACCCACAAGUGUAUGGCCAACUAAUCUUUGACAAAGCAGGAAAGAAUAUCCAACGGAAAAAAGACAGUCUCUUUAGCAAUUGGUGCAGGGAUAGCUGGCCAGUAACAUGCAGAAGAAUGAAACUGGACCACUCUCUUACACCAUACAC
This 534-nucleotide long non-coding RNA is filed under the name Felis catus (domestic cat). RNAcentral describes it as "lncRNA (ENSFCAG00000053842.1)". Lineage: Eukaryota; Metazoa; Chordata; Mammalia; Carnivora; Felidae. The record is from RNAcentral.